UACGUAGGGCGCAAGCGUUGUCCGGAAUUAUUGGGCGUAAAGAGCUCGUAGGCGGCUUGUCACGUCGGGUGUGAAAGCCCGGGGCUUAACCCCGGGUCUGCAUUCGAUACGGGCAGGCUAGAGUGUGGUAGGGGAGAUCGGAAUUCCUGGUGUAGCGGUGAAAUGCGCAGAUAUCGAGAGGAACGCCAACGGCGAAAGCAAGACUCUGGACAGGUGCUGACGCUCAUGCACGAAGGCCAGGGGAGCAAACGGG
Molecule: ribosomal RNA, 253 nt
Filed under: uncultured bacterium
Lineage: Bacteria
Description: partial 16S ribosomal RNA
Rfam family: Bacterial small subunit ribosomal RNA
Source: RNAcentral